UGGGGAAUCUUGGACAAUGGGGGAAACCCUGAUCCAGCAAUGCCGCGUGUGGGAUGAAGGCCCUCGGGUUGUAAACCACUUUUGGCAGGAAAGAAAUCGCCUGUGCUAAUACCAUGGGCGGAUGACGGUACCUGCAGAAUAAGCACCGGCUAACUACGUGCCAGCAGCCGCGGUAAUACGUAGGGUGCGAGCGUUAAUCGGAAUUACUGGGCGUAAAGCGUGCGCAGGCGGUUUUGUAAGACAGAUGUGAAAUCCCCGGGCUUAACCUGGGAACUGCAUUUGUGACUGCAAGACUAGAGUGUGUCAGAGGGAGGUGGAAUUCCGCGUGUAGCAGUGAAAUGCGUAGAGAUGCGGAAGAACACCGAUGGCGAAGGCAGCCUCCUGGGAUAACACUGACGCU
This 400-nucleotide ribosomal RNA is filed under the name uncultured bacterium. RNAcentral's name for it is "bacterial SSU rRNA". It matches the Rfam family "Bacterial small subunit ribosomal RNA", at positions 355 to 747 of the family's 1533-position model. The record is from RNAcentral.